GAUUAACGCUGGCGGCGUGCAUAACACAUGCAAGUCGAACGAUGAAACUUAGUAGACUUCUUCGGAAAGACACUAAGCGGAUUAGUGGCGAACGGGUGAGUAACGCGUGAGUAACCUGCCUUACACAAGGGGAUAGCCUUUGGAAACGAAGAAUAAUACCCUAUAAAACCAUAAAAGCACAUGCUAGAAUGGUCAAAGUGAUAGCGGUGUAAGAUGGACUUGCGUCUGAUUAGCUAGUUGGUGAGAUAAAAGCUCCCCAAGGCAACGAUCAGUAGCCGGCUUGAGAGAGUGUACGGCCACAUUGGGACUGAGACACGGCCCAGACUCCUACGGGAGGCAGCAGUGGGGAAUUUUGCACAAUGGGGGAAACCCUGAUGCAGCGACGCCGCGUGAUUUAGAGGGCCUUCGGGUUGUAAAAAUCUUUUGUAUAGGAAGAAAAUGACAGUACUAUACGAAUAAGGUCCGGCUAAUUACGUG
Molecule: ribosomal RNA, 477 nt
Filed under: uncultured bacterium
Lineage: Bacteria
Description: partial 16S ribosomal RNA
Rfam family: Bacterial small subunit ribosomal RNA
Source: RNAcentral